Molecule: microRNA precursor, 91 nt
Filed under: Ovis aries (sheep)
Lineage: Eukaryota; Metazoa; Chordata; Mammalia; Artiodactyla; Bovidae
Description: miRNA (ENSOARG00000024922.1)
Source: RNAcentral
AGGAUAGCCAAUCUUAGCGGUUUGCCUGGGACUGAGUGGAUUCCUGAGGUACGGGACUUUCAGUGCUAAGAUUGGGAUGCUGUCUUACUCC